RNAcentral lists this ribosomal RNA (468 nucleotides) under uncultured bacterium. RNAcentral's name for it is "partial 16S ribosomal RNA". It matches the Rfam family "Bacterial small subunit ribosomal RNA", at positions 28 to 507 of the family's 1533-position model. The record is from RNAcentral.
GACGAACGCUGGCGGCGUGCUUAACACAUGCAAGUCGAGCGGACAGGUGAUGCGCUUGUGCGGCGCUCGAGUGGGGAAGGCGGGAGUGACACGCGUGUAAACUCCCCCUGACUUUGGGAUAACUUCAGGAAAAUGGGGCUCAUAUCGGGUAGGAGCUCUUGCAGCAUGGUGGGGGUUGGAAAGUUUCGGCGGUGGGGGCUGGACUAGCGGCUUAUCCGCUUGUUGGGGGGGUAGUGGCGUACGAGGGCUUCGAAGGGUAGCCUGCCUGAGAGGGUGACCGGCGACAUUGCGCCUGCGGUACGGCCCAGUAUCCUACGGGAGGCAGUAGUGGGAAAUAUUGCAGAGUGGGCGGAAGCCAGAGGCAGCAACGCCGCGUGCGGAAUGACGGCCUUCGGGGUGUAAACCGCUUUCGCCUGAGACGAAGCGGGAGUGACGGUAAUGGGUAAAGAAGCCCCGGCUAACUACGUG